CCCAACUAUCCCUAUUAAUCAUUACGGUGAUCCUAGAAACCAACGAAAUAGAAUCAGUCCGUCCUAUUUCAUUAUUCCAUGCUAAUGUAUUCAGACGAUAGUCUGCUUUAAACACUCUAAUUUUUUCAAAGUAACAGUCCUGAUUUCCCAUCACACCAAAUGAAUGGCAUGAAAGUUCCUCAGAAGGUAGAGAUCCAUCUCACCAGUGCAGACAAUUAAGCCUGACCAAUGGGUAGACCCCGAGGUUCAACUACGAGCUUUUUAACUGCAACAACUUUAAUAUACGCUAUUGGAGCUGGAAUUACCGCGGCUGCUGGCACCAGACUUGCCCUCCAA
This 336-nucleotide unclassified non-coding RNA is filed under the name uncultured Diversisporaceae. RNAcentral's name for it is "sequence contains 18S rRNA gene". The record is from RNAcentral. Lineage: Eukaryota; Fungi; Glomeromycota; Glomeromycetes; Diversisporales.